This 253-nucleotide ribosomal RNA is filed under the name uncultured bacterium. Its description in RNAcentral is "partial 16S ribosomal RNA". It matches the Rfam family "Bacterial small subunit ribosomal RNA", at positions 524 to 776 of the family's 1533-position model. The record is from RNAcentral.
UACAGAGGGUGCGAGCGUUAAUCGGAAUUACUGGGCGUAAAGGGUGCGUAGGUGGUUAUGUAAGUUAGGUGUGAAAGUCCCGGGCUUAACCUGGGGAUUGCGCUUGAUACUGUAUAGCUAGAGUACUGUAGAGGGAAGUGGAAUUUCCGGUGUAGCGGUGAAAUGCGUAGAUAUCGGAAGGAACAUCAGUGGCGAAGGCGACUUCCUGGACAGCUACUGACACUGAGGCACGAAAGCAUGGGGAGCAAACAGG